Molecule: non-coding RNA, 247 nt
Organism: Pelobates cultripes (western spadefoot toad)
Lineage: Eukaryota; Metazoa; Chordata; Amphibia; Anura; Pelobatidae
Source: the annotation of a GenBank genome assembly
UGCAGAGUGUGUGUUUGUAUAAGUGUGUGUGUAUAUAAUGCAGAGUGUGUGUUUGUAUAAGUGUGUGUGUAUAUAAUGCAGAGUGUGUGUUUGUAUGAGUGUGUGUGUAUAUAAUUAUAAAAAUCACAGAAUUUCAUAGCCCCAAGUUUUACCCUCGACUUAUCCACGAGGCAUAGCAUAUUUCACAAUUGUUGGUCACAAAACUGCACUCGACUUAUACAUGAGAUCGACUUAUACACGAGUAUAU